Molecule: ribosomal RNA, 497 nt
Filed under: uncultured bacterium
Lineage: Bacteria
Description: partial 16S ribosomal RNA
Rfam family: Bacterial small subunit ribosomal RNA
Source: RNAcentral
GACGAACGCUGGCGGCGUGCCUAAUACAUGCAAGUCGAGCGCUGAAGGUUGGUACUUGUACCGACUGGAUGAGCAGCGAACGGGUGAGUAACGCGUGGGGAAUCUGCCUUUGAGCGGGGGACAACAUUUGGAAACGAAUGCUAAUACCGCAUAAAAACUUUAAACACAAGUUUUAAGUUUGAAAGAUGCAAUUGCAUCACUCAAAGAUGAUCCCGCGUUGUAUUAGCUAGUUGGUGAGGUUAAGGCUCACCAAGGCGAAGAAACAUAGCCGACCCUAGGGGGAGGUCGGCCCCCUUGGGACUGGGACACGGCCCAAACUCCUUCGGGGAGCAGCCGUAGGGGAUCUUCGGCCAUGGGGGGAAGUCUGACCGAACAACGCCGAGUGGGUGGAGAAGGUUUUCGGGUCGGUAAACUCUGUUGGUAGAGGAGAACGUUCGUUAGAGUGGAAAGCUCAUCAAGUGACGGUAACUACACAGAAAGCAACGGCUAACUACGUG